This 440-nucleotide ribosomal RNA is filed under the name uncultured bacterium. RNAcentral's name for it is "partial 16S ribosomal RNA". It matches the Rfam family "Bacterial small subunit ribosomal RNA", at positions 338 to 795 of the family's 1533-position model. The record is from RNAcentral.
CCUACGGGUGGCAGCAGUGGGGAAUAUUGCACAAUGGGGGAAACCCUGAUGCAGCGACGCCGCGUGGAGGAAGAAGGCUUUCGGAUUGUAAAGCUCUGUUAUCAGGGACGAUAAUGACGGUACCUGAGUAAGAAGCCCCGGCUAACUACGUGCCAGCAGCCGCGGUAAUACGUAGGGGGCAAGCGUUAUCCGGAAUUACUGGGUGUAAAGGGAGCGUAGACGGUAAUGAAAGUCUGGAGUGAAAGGCGGGGGCCCAACCCUCGGACUGCUUUGGAAACUGGGUAACUGGAGUGCAGGAGAGGCAGGCGGAAUUCCUAGUGUAGCGGUGAAAUGCGUAGAUAUUAGGAGGAACACCAGUGGCGAAGGCGGCCUGCUGGACUGUAACUGACGUUGAGGCUCGAAAGCGUGGGGAGCAAACAGGAUUAGAUACCCUUGUAGUC